This 908-nucleotide ribosomal RNA is filed under the name uncultured organism. RNAcentral describes it as "SSU rRNA". It matches the Rfam family "Bacterial small subunit ribosomal RNA", at positions 563 to 1483 of the family's 1533-position model. The record is from RNAcentral.
AAGGGAGCGUAGGUGGACUGGUAAGUCAGUUGUGAAAGUUUGCGGCUCAACCGUAAAAUUGCAGUUGAUACUGUCAGUCUUGAGUACAGUAGAGGUGGGCGGAAUUCGUGGUGUAGCGGUGAAAUGCUUAGAUAUCACGAAGAACUCCGAUUGCGAAGGCAGCUCACUGGACUGCAACUGACACUGAUGCUCGAAAGUGUGGGUAUCAAACAGGAUUAGAUACCCUGGUAGUCCACACAGUAAACGAUGAAUACUCGCUGUUUGCGAUAUACAGUAAGCGGCCAAGCGAAAGCAUUAAGUAUUCCACCUGGGGAGUACGCCGGCAACGGUGAAACUCAAAGGAAUUGACGGGGGCCCGCACAAGCGGAGGAACAUGUGGUUUAAUUCGAUGAUACGCGAGGAACCUUACCCGGGCUUAAAUUGCAGUGGAAUGAUGUGGAAACAUGUCAGUGAGCAAUCACCGCUGUGAAGGUGCUGCAUGGUUGUCGUCAGCUCGUGCCGUGAGGUGUCGGCUUAAGUGCCAUAACGAGCGCAACCCUUAUCUUUAGUUACUAACAGGUUAUGCUGAGGACUCUAGAGAGACUGCCGUCGUAAGAUGUGAGGAAGGUGGGGAUGACGUCAAAUCAGCACGGCCCUUACGUCCGGGGCUACACACGUGUUACAAUGGGGGGUACAGAAGGCAGCUAGCGGGUGGCCGUAUGCUAAUCCCAAAAUCCUCUCUCAGUUCGGAUCGAAGUCUGCAACCCGACUUCGUGAAGCUGGAUUCGCUAGUAAUCGCGCAUCAGCCACGGCGCGGUGAAUACGUUCCCGGGCCUUGUACACACCGCCCGUCAAGCCAUGGGAGCCGGGGGUACCUGAAGUGCGUAACCGCGAGGAGCGCCCUAGGGUAAAACUGGUGACUGGGGCUA